Molecule: ribosomal RNA, 253 nt
Filed under: uncultured bacterium
Lineage: Bacteria
Description: partial 16S ribosomal RNA
Rfam family: Bacterial small subunit ribosomal RNA
Source: RNAcentral
UACGGGGGGGGCAAGCGUUGUUCGGAAUUACGGGGCGUAAAGGGCUCGUAGGUGGCCAACUAAGUCAGACGUGAAAUCCCUCGGCUUAACCGGGGAACUGCGUCUGAUACUGGAUGGCUUGAGUUUGGGAGAGGGAUGCGGAAUUCCAGGUGUAGCGGUGAAAUGCGUAGAUAUCUGGAGGAACACCGGUGGCGAAGGCGGCAUCCUGGACCAAUACUGACACUGAGGAGCGAAAGCCAGGGGAGCAAACGGG